Molecule: ribosomal RNA, 1579 nt
Filed under: Escherichia coli
Lineage: Bacteria; Pseudomonadati; Pseudomonadota; Gammaproteobacteria; Enterobacterales; Enterobacteriaceae
Description: bacterial LSU rRNA
Rfam family: Bacterial large subunit ribosomal RNA
Source: RNAcentral
UAAUCGGGGCAGGGUGAGUCGACCCCUAAGGCGAGGCCGAAAGGCGUAGUCGAUGGGAAACAGGUUAAUAUUCCUGUACUUGGUGUUACUGCGAAGGGGGGACGGAGAAGGCUAUGUUGGCCGGGCGACGGUUGUCCCGGUUUAAGCGUGUAGGCUGGUUUUCCAGGCAAAUCCGGAAAAUCAAGGCUGAGGCGUGAUGACGAGGCACUACGGUGCUGAAGCAACAAAUGCCCUGCUUCCAGGAAAAGCCUCUAAGCAUCAGGUAACAUCAAAUCGUACCCCAAACCGACACAGGUGGUCAGGUAGAGAAUACCAAGGCGCUUGAGAGAACUCGGGUGAAGGAACUAGGCAAAAUGGUGCCGUAACUUCGGGAGAAGGCACGCUGAUAUGUAGGUGAAGUCCCUCGCGGAUGGAGCUGAAAUCAGUCGAAGAUACCAGCUGGCUGCAACUGUUUAUUAAAAACACAGCACUGUGCAAACACGAAAGUGGACGUAUACGGUGUGACGCCUGCCCGGUGCCGGAAGGUUAAUUGAUGGGGUCAGCGCAAGCGAAGCUCUUGAUCGAAGCCCCGGUAAACGGCGGCCGUAACUAUAACGGUCCUAAGGUAGCGAAAUUCCUUGUCGGGUAAGUUCCGACCUGCACGAAUGGCGUAAUGAUGGCCAGGCUGUCUCCACCCGAGACUCAGUGAAAUUGAACUCGCUGUGAAGAUGCAGUGUACCCGCGGCAAGACGGAAAGACCCCGUGAACCUUUACUAUAGCUUGACACUGAACAUUGAGCCUUGAUGUGUAGGAUAGGUGGGAGGCUUUGAAGUGUGGACGCCAGUCUGCAUGGAGCCGACCUUGAAAUACCACCCUUUAAUGUUUGAUGUUCUAACGUUGACCCGUAAUCCGGGUUGCGGACAGUGUCUGGUGGGUAGUUUGACUGGGGCGGUCUCCUCCUAAAGAGUAACGGAGGAGCACGAAGGUUGGCUAAUCCUGGUCGGACAUCAGGAGGUUAGUGCAAUGGCAUAAGCCAGCUUGACUGCGAGCGUGACGGCGCGAGCAGGUGCGAAAGCAGGUCAUAGUGAUCCGGUGGUUCUGAAUGGAAGGGCCAUCGCUCAACGGAUAAAAGGUACUCCGGGGAUAACAGGCUGAUACCGCCCAAGAGUUCAUAUCGACGGCGGUGUUUGGCACCUCGAUGUCGGCUCAUCACAUCCUGGGGCUGAAGUAGGUCCCAAGGGUAUGGCUGUUCGCCAUUUAAAGUGGUACGCGAGCUGGGUUUAGAACGUCGUGAGACAGUUCGGUCCCUAUCUGCCGUGGGCGCUGGAGAACUGAGGGGGGCUGCUCCUAGUACGAGAGGACCGGAGUGGACGCAUCACUGGUGUUCGGGUUGUCAUGCCAAUGGCACUGCCCGGUAGCUAAAUGCGGAAGAGAUAAGUGCUGAAAGCAUCUAAGCACGAAACUUGCCCCGAGAUGAGUUCUCCCUGACUCCUUGAGAGUCCUGAAGGAACGUUGAAGACGACGACGUUGAUAGGCCGGGUGUGUAAGCGCAGCGAUGCGUUGAGCUAACCGGUACUAAUGAACCGUGAGGCUUAACCUU